Small nuclear RNA from Molossus molossus (Pallas's mastiff bat), 160 nucleotides. RefSeq annotates it as U1 spliceosomal RNA. The record is from RefSeq and is a predicted model, not a curated record. NCBI's taxonomy places the organism in Eukaryota, Metazoa, Chordata, Mammalia, Chiroptera, Molossidae. The transcript has a single exon.
GUAAUGGCAGAGGAAGAUACUAUGAUCAUGAAGAUGCUUUUCCCACGGCGCGGCUUAUCCAUUGCCCUCUGGACGUGCUGACCCCUGCAAUGUCCCCAAAUGUGGGAAACUUGACUGCACAAUUUGUGGUAGUGGGGGACUGCGUUCAAGCUCUCCCCUG